GCCCCCGUGGCCGAGAGGUUAAGGCGACCGGCUUAUACCCGGUUGAGGCAGCGGCCAGAUAAGCCGCUCACGUAGGUUCGAAUCCUACCGGGGGCACCA
This 99-nucleotide transfer RNA is filed under the name Rhodanobacter glycinis. Its description in RNAcentral is "tRNA-Ile". It matches the Rfam family "tRNA". From Rfam's summary of the family: Transfer RNA (tRNA) molecules are approximately 80 nucleotides in length. Their secondary structure includes four short double-helical elements and three loops (D, anti-codon, and T loops). The record is from RNAcentral. Lineage: Bacteria; Pseudomonadati; Pseudomonadota; Gammaproteobacteria; Lysobacterales; Rhodanobacteraceae.